GACGGUGCAAACUUUUAAGUGUGGGGAGGUUUGGUCGUCUGACCAAUCGGCCAUUUUUGGGUAACAAAUCUCUAAUCCCAAUACUUUCACAUUUUAAUUUUUCUAUU
This is a non-coding RNA of Arachis ipaensis, 107 nucleotides long. NCBI's taxonomy places the organism in Eukaryota, Viridiplantae, Streptophyta, Magnoliopsida, Fabales, Fabaceae. The record is from RefSeq and is a predicted model, not a curated record.